AUACGACCGUACCGCAAACCGACACUGGUGCGCGAGAUGAGUAUUCUAAGGCGCUUGAGAGAACUCAGGAGAAGGAACUCGGCAAAUUGACACCGUAACUUCGGAAGAAGGUGUGCCCUAUUAGUGUGUAGUGAACAACGAAGCAUGAAUGGGUUGCAAAAAAUCGGUGGCUGCGACUGUUUAUUAAAAACACAGCACUCUGCAAACACGAAAGUGGACGUAUAGGGUGUGACGCCUGCCCGGUGCUGGAAGAUUAAAUGAUGGGGUGCAAGCUCUUGAUUGAAGUCCCAGUAAACGGCGGCCGUAACAAUAACGGUCCUAAGGUAGCGAAAUUCCUUGUCGGGUAAGUUCCGACCUGCACGAAUGGCGUAACGAUGGCCACACUGUCUCCUCCUGAGACUCAGCGAAGUUGAAAUGUUUGUGAUGAUGCAAUCUCCCCGCGGAAAGACGGAAAGACCCCAUGAACCUUUACUGUAGCUUUGUAUUGGACUUUGAACAGAUCUGUGUAGGAUAGGUGGGAGGCUUUGAAGCAGGGUCGCUAGAUCUUGUGGAGCCAACGUUGAAAUACCACCCUGGUGUGUUUGAGGUUCUAACCUAGGUCCAUUAUCUGGAUCGGGGACAGUGCAUGGUAGGCAGUUUGACUGGGGCGGUCUCCUCCCAAAGCGUAACGGAGGAGUUCGAAGGUACGCUAGUUACGGUCGGACAUCGUGACGAUAGUGCAAUGGCAUAAGCGUGCUUAACUGCGAGACUGACAAGUCGAGCAGAUGCGAAAGCAGGACAUAGUGAUCCGGUGGUUCUGUAUGGAAGGGCCAUCGCUCAACGGAUAAAAGGUACUCUGGGGAUAACAGGCUGAUACCGCCCAAGAGUUCAUAUCGACGGCGGUGUUUGGCACCUCGAUGUCGGCUCAUCUCAUCCUGGGGCUGUAGCCGGUCCCAAGGGUAUGGCUGUUCGCCAUUUAAAGAGGUACGUGAGCUGGGUUUAAAACGUCGUGAGACAGUUUGGUCCCUAUCUUCCGUGGGCGCUGCAGAUUUGAGGAAGCCUGCUCCUAGUACGAGAGGACCGGAGUGGACACACCUCUGGUGUAUCGGUUGUCACGCCAGUGGCAUUGCCGAGUAGCUAAGUGUGGAAGAGAUAACCGCUGAAAGCAUCUAAGCGGGAAACUCGUUUCAAGAUGAGAUCUGCCGGGGCCUUGAGCCCCCUAAAGAGUCGUUCAAGACCAGGACGUUGAUAGGUCAGGUGUGGAAGUG
RNAcentral lists this ribosomal RNA (1247 nucleotides) under metagenome. RNAcentral's name for it is "bacterial LSU rRNA". It matches the Rfam family "Bacterial large subunit ribosomal RNA", at positions 1636 to 2875 of the family's 2925-position model. The record is from RNAcentral.